CCCGCUCGGCCCCGCGGAAGCUCCGCCGCGCCAUGUCUUCGCCUCCCGAAGGGAAACUAGAGACUAAAGCUGGACACCCGCCCGCCGUGAAAGCUGGUGGAAUGCGAAUUGUGCAGAAACACCCACAUACAGGAGACACCAAAGAAGAGAAAGACAAGGAUGACCAGGAAUGGGAAAGCCCCAGGUGGGAUGAUGCUAGCGACUCUUGAGCAUGUUUUCCAAAAACCCUAUUCGGUUAAACAUUAACAUUUGUUCUCUGUUCUAUAAUUCUGAUAA
This 276-nucleotide small RNA is filed under the name Pan troglodytes (chimpanzee). RNAcentral's name for it is "retained intron". Lineage: Eukaryota; Metazoa; Chordata; Mammalia; Primates; Hominidae. The record is from RNAcentral.